GCUACACCAGCAAUCUUUGUCUUCAGACUUCUAUCUGAGUGGGGAAUCCUCUUGCCUGGCCAGCAGCUGCCUGAGCAGCUCCAUGUCGCUGACUCUUCUCCAACCUCUAUGUACCUUCUUACAGAGCCAAAGGAACUCCUGAGGUGGCUGCAUGGGCCCUCUGAUGGAUUAGGAGCAUUUCCCCAUUUUCUUCCCAUGUAUCCAAAACCAAGGAUGCCACACACUUCAUGAUUCAGUUGCUUCAGUGAGGUUUCUGCCUGAUGAAAUCACCAGAGUGAACAUGUGUCCCUGGGAGACCUGGACCCAGACAAAGACUAUGUUUCCCAGCCCCACUGACAUGUAGUUAGCUGCGAUGAACUUUGAUGCCUUGCAAGAUGGUCAAGAUACAGCAUACAAGGAGCUUUGGUUCGUAAAUGACCACAGAGGGAAGCCACCCUCUGACCAUGUAACACACACAUAGAAAAAAAACCCCACUAUUGUGUUAAUAAGCCUACUCUGCAUCCUAUCACAGUAUCCAGAAUAAUCCUAACCAUAUCCUAAUAUGUCUGUGAGAGAAGAUGAAGAGUUUUGAGAUGGUCGCCCGAGCUUGCAAGGCCAGUUCUGCCACCAGUUCUGCCACCUCUAAAUGAGCUCUAGAGAUGCUUACUCUGCCUACUCCCAUUCCUUUCCCAAACUUUUAUCAGUGUCUCUGAACAUAGCUUAGGUACCAUGGCUCUCAUCAUGUCUAUUUGGUGAACUUCCCAAUGGCAACAUGCCACCCCUGUUCCAUGCCCUCUUCAUCCUCCUUUGUCUAUAUUUAUUGUGAGUCUCAGUGACUUGGACCAAUGAUAAACAUAUUCAACCCUGACACCCUAGGAAAGGUAUUCAAAUUCUCAUGGAAAUAGAAUCCUCAACAGCACUGCCCCCUUUGUCAGUUCAUCCCCCAAAAUGAGUAAUAUUCACCGAUCAACCUGGAUUCAAAAUAGCUACACAGCUAACCUUACUCUGGAAUAUGGUUAGGAUUUGUAACGUCAAAGUAAACACUGUGCUCUGCUCUCUUUUUUUGCCAUUUUUUCAUGCUAAUCUUCCACGUGUCAACCUUGGAUUUCUAUUUUUUAUUUUAAUAGUUGUAUGAGAUUACGUUACACAAAUAAAAAUAACUUAUUUAACUAUUCUUUUCUUGAUGAACAUUUAUAAUUUUCUUUUGUACAACUUCAGUUUAUUUUCAGUAAGAAAAAAACUGCUACUAUGGUAUCUUCAAAAAGACAAAUCAUUAAAAUAUAAUGAAUCCUGGCCUCUAGGAAAAAAUUUACCUCUAUGAAGUAGUAAUUUCCUAUGGGAUCUCAGAGUUUCAGCUAGUGGCUUCCAGACCACAAACUGUAACCAAACUGUAAAACUAUGUGUGGUAUGUUAAAAGUUACCUAUUUGUUAAUAAUAAACUUAUGAACAAGAAUCUUUCAAACUGUUCGCUUGGGAGUUCAGGACCCAUGAAAAGUCCAAUAGUUGUGAAAAUUGCUCAGUAAUCUAAGUACUCCUAGAAUUUUCAAAGUGUAUUAUGAUGUUGGUUUUUAACCUUAACUUUGGAAAAGAGGUAAUGAUGAUGGUUUUUGUACUCUGUUAUCAUUACCACCUAAGAGGACUGACUCUCUCCCCAAAAGGUUGAAUGACUGAGGAGCCUAAAUAAACACAGCAGGAGAUUCAGCAAUGAGAGGUUUCACUGAAUGCAGACACAGAGCCUUUUAGUCCAAGGCUGGGGUGUGGAGGCCUCAUGCAACAGAGGAGAAAAAAGAAAAAGAUGAAUCGUCCAUGAAUCACAUCUUGAAAACAGUGCUCUAGGAAUCCAGAAGUUAUAGCUGGAAAAGCAAUGCUGAGGACAAAGUCCAGUGUGAAAGUCUGAAUCCCAUCAGGAAGCAUCCUCCCACUUGUAGCAGCCCACCUGGAGCACCAGGCCUCCCAGGCCACUGCAGUGGGGAAGAGAUGGAGGAGGCCAACUGAGGCACUUAGUAGCUUUGGCCUGAAGCCAUACCAGUCUCUUCUGUCCAAAGUCCAUUGACAAAGCAGUCAUCUAGGCCAAUUGAACUGCAAGGGAAGCUGGGGGUGUGGAGAAUGACAAUGGAUACUUUUGGACACCAUCUGUAACAUAGCUAAUCAAAAGGCUUUAUUUGGAUAGAAAUCCUUCCAAACACCGUAUGUGUUUUCAUUAGAAGCAAACAACUGAAGAAUUCAACAGACCCUAUAAUAGACACCUACAGUUCAAUGUAGCCCAAGGAGACAUAUCUUCUGAAAAAUAAGUAACACCUUCUUCUACCUUAAUAUUUUAUAAAUGGCAUACUCCUCUGUAAAAUAUCAAAUAUGAUUAAUUUAAAAUAAACUCAUUGGACAUAAUUGUUUUUAAAGUACUGUGGACAAAAUAUUUAGAACUCUGUUGUAACUGUGAUAUAGAAGUUCCCCUUUAGACCAGAAGCUUUAAAGAUUUAGACAUAAAGCCCACCAAAUAAGGGUAAGCUAAGACAAGACUGCUGCAUCCCACAGGCCCUGGGAGUGUCAUUUGUGAGCCGAGUGUGUAUGGUGUGGUGUGGGGUUAUUCAAAAAGACAAAGGAAAAAAACCCCUGGAAUUAUGCAACACAGCAGCCCUGAGCGGAAAUGUGGGAAAAUACUCAUUUUAAUAUUUAUUGGAAAACAUUAUCUGCCUUAGGAACUGUUAUUAAAGACCUCAAGAAGAGAGUGACAGCCAAAUAAAAUUAGAGAGCAUUUUUGUCUAAAAUCUUCUGAAAUCAGGUAAAACUGAACUAAUAAAAGAAUUUAGGUGAUGGCCUGAAAAUGUAAGCAUAGAAAUAAAUGAAA
This is a long non-coding RNA of Acinonyx jubatus (cheetah), 2824 nucleotides long. RefSeq lists it as uncharacterized. The record is from RefSeq and is a predicted model, not a curated record. Lineage: Eukaryota; Metazoa; Chordata; Mammalia; Carnivora; Felidae. The transcript has 4 exons.